AAGUGUUUUACUUGACUAUGAAUCCAGGUUUUUUUGGUCACAUUUCUGUAGUUCAUUUAGUAACAUCAAGUAUUUUACUUGACUAGUAAUACAGGUUUUUUUGGUCACAUUUCUGUAGUUAUUUAGUAACACCAAGUGUUUUACUUGACUAGGAAUCCAGGUUUUUUGGUCACAUUUCUGUAGUUCAUUUAGUAACACCAAGUGUUUUACUUGACUAGGAAUCCAGGUUUUUUUGGUCACAUUUCUGUAGUUCAUUUAGUAACACCAAGUGUUUUACUUUACUAGGAAUACAGGUUUUUUUGGUCACAUUUCUGUAGUUCAUUUAGUAACAUCAAGUGUUUUACUUGACUAGGAAUCCAGGUUUUUUGGUCACAUUUCUGUAGUUCAUUUAGUAAUAUAAAGUGUUUUACUUGAAUAGUAAUCCAGGUUUUUUGGUCACAUUUCUGUAGUUUAUUUGGUAAUAUCAUCAGGUUUCUUUUUGAUUAGAUUUGAACAAUACUCAAUAGUGACUUUUAGUUUCCAACAUAUCUUAUUUUCAUACUGGAGUGGGCAGGCAUUUAGGAAAGAGAAACAAACUUUACUCGUGAUAGCAUUUGAUCACUAACAGAUAAGGUCCAAAAACUUCCCUAAACAUUGCAUUUAUUUAUAGAUCAUAAAGAGUUUUCUUUAAAAAUACAGGUAUCAUCCAGUGAAGAGAUGAUGCGAUGGAAAUGUUUAGUAACCUGACUGUGCAAUUGCAAAUGAACUAUAAUUAUAUUUGUCAAACAGCUGAAAAAAAUGUUUUAAUUUUAGAAACUCAAGAAGGUUAAGCUUAAAGUUUUUCUUCACAACGAUAUACUCAAACCAGAUAGCUAAGACUGCUUUUAACUUAAGAAACUGUGUUGUUUAUCAUCUUUUGAAUAUUUAGGCUUUUAUAACUUCCUGCCCUCUGAGGAGUCCACAAAGAAAACAAUGUCCACUUACACCUAACUCUAAGUUGAGUAUUAGAAAAUCUUUAAAUGCUAAUUUUUUAUUUUGAUUUAUUUCUGCCAAAGGAUUUUAAACUCGUUUGAAAGUACAAGUUUCCUUGAAUUUAUAUUAGUAGUAUUUCACAUAUCAAGUUAUUUGUACAUUUCAUAUCUCAGAAUUAUUCAAUUACAAUUAAAGUUAGUAUUUCCAAUAACAUUAAACAAUCUUAUGUCACGUCUUUGUAAAGCUAACCAAUUUGAUCAACUUUUUUUUUAUUAAACCAAUCAAAUUUCUCUUUGUUCAUCAUUAUUAGCCAAUAUAAACAAGAUCUUUAGUCAAGAAACCAGAGUUUUCUAAAUUUACAGAAACAUCGAAUUUAAAUUGCAUAAUACACCCAAGUUACACAUACUAAACAGUUUGCUGUAUAAGAUAAAAUCUACGGGUUCUGUAAAUGUGUUACGUUUUGGUAAACUUGAAACACGUAAUAGAUGCUAGAAUAAGUAAACAUAUUGAUAACUCUAUGUUAAAAAGUGUUUAGGUCUUAGCAGCUUGGAUAAAAACAUUUGUUAUCUGUCUGCUAGUGUUACGAGAUUUCAAGUACUUACGAGGUGCAUUCACAAAUUUUCCUUUUGUUUAUCUCCUGUAGAGGAUCGUAUUUAAUUCAAGUUGGUAUAAUUAUUUAAGCUUAUAUUAACAUCUAGUUUCUCUUCAUAAAAUUGUUUGUUUUCAGUGUUAUUGUUACACUUGUAAAUAAAUAGAAAAUGUUUCACUGGAAUUGUUACUAUUGGAGUUAAAAACCUAAUAUGUAUGAUAGUAUGUAUCUGGCUGGUUUGUUGACUGAUGUAAUAAAUUUGUUCAAAAA
Molecule: long non-coding RNA, 1810 nt
Filed under: Limulus polyphemus (Atlantic horseshoe crab)
Lineage: Eukaryota; Metazoa; Arthropoda; Merostomata; Xiphosura; Limulidae
Description: uncharacterized LOC111088356
Source: RNAcentral